GGACGAAAGUCUGAUGGAGCAACGCCGCGUGAGUGAUGAAGGGUUUCGGCUCGUAAAACUCUGUUGUUGGAGAAGAACAGGUGAUAGAGUAACUGUUAUCAUCUUGACGGUAUCCAACCAGAAAGCCACGGCUAACUACGUGCCAGCAGCCGCGGUAAUACGUAGGUGGCAAGCGUUGUCCGGAUUUAUUGGGCGUAAAGCGAGCGCAGGCGGUUUUUUAGGUCUGAUGUGAAAGCCUUCGGCUUAACCGGAGAAGGGCAUCGGAAACCGGGAGACUUGAGUGCAGAAGAGGACAGUGGAACUCCAUGUGUAGCGGUGAAAUGCGUAGAUAUAUGGAAGAACACCAGUGGCGAAGGCGGCUGUCUGGUCUGUAACUGACGCUGAGGCUCGAAAGCAUGGGUAGCGAACAGGAUUAGAUACCCUGGUAGUCCAUGCCGUAAACGAUGAGUGCUAAGUGUUGGAGGGUUUCCGCCCUUCAGUGCUGCAGCUAACGCAUUAAGCACUCCGCCUGGGGAGUACGACCGCAAGGUUGAAACUCAAAGGAAUUGACGGGGGCCCGCACAAGCGGUGGAGCAUGUGGUUUAAUUCGAUGCUACGCGAAGAACCUUACCUGGUCU
Molecule: ribosomal RNA, 617 nt
Filed under: Lactobacillus sp. oral taxon 418
Lineage: Bacteria; Bacillati; Bacillota; Bacilli; Lactobacillales; Lactobacillaceae
Description: bacterial SSU rRNA
Rfam family: Bacterial small subunit ribosomal RNA
Source: RNAcentral